Molecule: ribosomal RNA, 492 nt
Filed under: uncultured bacterium
Lineage: Bacteria
Description: partial 16S ribosomal RNA
Rfam family: Bacterial small subunit ribosomal RNA
Source: RNAcentral
AGUGAACGCUGGCGGCAGGCCUAACACAUGCAAGUCGAACGGCAGCACAGUAAGAGUUUGCUCUUACGGGUGGCGGGUGGCGGACGGGUGAGGAGUACAUCGUGCUCUACUCUUUCGGGGGGGAUAACGUAGGGGAACCUACGAUAAUAUCGCAUAUGCUCUACGGGUGUAAGCAGUGGAUCUUCGGGCCUUGCGCGAUUGAAUGAGCCGCUGUCGGGCUAGCUGGUUGGGGGGGUAAUGGCCCAGCAUGGCGAGGAUCCGUAGCCGGUCUGAGAGGAUGGUCGGCGGCACUGGAGCUGAGACACGGUCCAGACUCCUACGGGAGGGAGCAGUCGCGAAUAGUGGGCAAUGGGCGGGAGCCUGACCCAGCCAUACCGCGUGGGAGAAGAAGGCCUUCGGGUUGUAAAGACCUUUUUUGGGGUAAGAAAAGCUGUAGGUUAAGACCCCGCGGGUGUGACGGUACCCAAUGAAGAAGCACCGGCUAACUACGUG